This 396-nucleotide ribosomal RNA is filed under the name uncultured bacterium. Its description in RNAcentral is "partial 16S ribosomal RNA". It matches the Rfam family "Bacterial small subunit ribosomal RNA", at positions 523 to 918 of the family's 1533-position model. The record is from RNAcentral.
AUACGUAGGGGGCGAGCGUUGUCCGGAAUGACUGGGCGUAAAGGGCGUGUAGGCGGCGCUGUAAGUCUGGAGUGAAAGUCCUGUUUUCAAGAUGGGAAUUGCUUUGGAUACUGCAGAGCUUGAGUGCGGAAGAGGUAAGUGGAAUUCCCAGUGUAGCGGUGAAAUGCGUAGAGAUUGGGAGGAACACCAGUGGCGAAGGCGGCUUUCUGGACAGUAACUGACGCUGAGGCGCGAAAGCGUGGGGAGCAAACAGGAUUAGAUCCCCGGUAGUCCACGCCAUAAACGAUGAAUACUAGGUGUAGGGGGUAUCGACCCCCUCUGUGCCGACGUUAACACAUUAAGUAUUCCACCUGGGGAGUACGGCCGCAAGGCUGAAACUCAAAUGAAUUGGCGGGG